UCCGUAGGUGAACCUGCGGAGGGAUCAUUACACAAAUAUGAAGGCGGGCUGGAACCUCUCGGGGUUACAGCCUUGCUGAAUUAUUCACCCUUGUCUUUUGCGUACUUCUUGUUUCCUUGGUGGGUUCGCCCACCACUAGGACAAACAUAAACCUUUUGUAAUUGCAAUCAGCGUCAGUAACAAAUUAAUAAUUACAACUUUCAACAACGGAUCUCUUGGUUCUGGCAUCGAUGAAGAACGCAGCGAAAUGCGAUAAGUAGUGUGAAUUGCAGAAUUCAGUGAAUCAUCGAAUCUUUGAACGCACAUUGCGCCCUUUGGUAUUCCAAAGGGCAUGCCUGUUCGAGCGUCAUUUGUACCCUCAAGCUUUGCUUGGUGUUGGGCGUCUUGUCUCUAGCUUUGCUGGAGACUCGCCUUAAAGUAAUUGGCAGCCGGCCUACUGGUUUCGGAGCGCAGCACAAGUCGCACUCUCUAUCAGCAAAGGUCUAGCAUCCAUUAAGCCUUUUUUUCAACUUUUGACCUCGGAUCAGGUAGGGAUACCCGCUGAACUUAAGCAUAUCAAUAAACGGAGGA
This 570-nucleotide ribosomal RNA is filed under the name Alternaria sp. XY-3-2-1. RNAcentral describes it as "eukaryotic LSU rRNA". The stretch from base 196 to 349 matches the Rfam family "5.8S ribosomal RNA". The record is from RNAcentral. Lineage: Eukaryota; Fungi; Ascomycota; Dothideomycetes; Pleosporales; Pleosporaceae.